Molecule: unclassified non-coding RNA, 1439 nt
Filed under: uncultured Neocallimastigales
Lineage: Eukaryota; Fungi; Neocallimastigomycota; Neocallimastigomycetes; Neocallimastigales
Description: partial contains small subunit ribosomal RNA, internal transcribed spacer 1, 5.8S ribosomal RNA, internal transcribed spacer 2, and large subunit ribosomal RNA
Rfam family: Eukaryotic large subunit ribosomal RNA (bases 662-1439)
Source: RNAcentral
UUUCCGUAGGUGAACCUGCGGAAGGAUCAUUAAAAAAUUGGACUCCAUUGGUGAGUUCAUUAAUAAUCCCUACCCUUUGUGAAUUUGUUUGUUUGAAUAAUUUUUUUUCCAAAAAAAUUAUUGAAUGUCUUUCCUUGUUUUGGUGGAGCUUGUAAAGUGAAACCAGGCAGGGGAAUGGCAAACAAUAAUUAUUUUUGAAAAAGACCUUUUUUUAAAAAUUAAACUUUUUGUAUUCAUUUGUCUAAAAUUAAUUUUUAUAAUAUAAAAACAACUUUUGACAAUGGAUCUCUUGGUUCUCGCAACGAUGAAGAACGCAGCAAAUUGCGAUAAGUAGUGUGAAUUGCAGAAUACGUGAAUCAUCGAAUCUUCGAACGCAUAUUGCACUUUUUUAGUUUACUAAAAAGUAUGUCUGUUUGAGUAUCGGUAAAAUAUUCUCAUAAAAAACAUUGUUUUUUUUUAUGGUUAUGAGUGUUUUACAACGAUAACAAGUUGUUUCACUUUAAAUUCUUUGUUAUCAAAAAAAUCAUUAAAAGCUAAUUUUAAAGAUUUUUUAAAAUUGGAUAAAAUUUUCCCGUAAAAAGGAAUAACCUAAACAAUUUUAAAAAAUUAAAAUUGGUUUGAUUUUUUUUGAAACCCAAAGGAAAAAAAAACGAAAUUAACUUGAUCUCAAAUCAGAUAAGAGUACCCGCUGAACUUAAGCAUAUCAAUAAGCGGAGGAAAAGAAACUAACUAGGAUUCCCUCAGUAACGGCGAGUGAAGCGGGAAGAGCUCAAAUUUGAAAUCUUCAAGGUUUUACCUUGACGAAUUGUAGUUUAAAGAAGUGUUUUCUGUUGGAGUUUUGGUAAAAGUUCUUUGGAAAAGGACAUCAUAGAGGGUGAGAAUCCCGUAUUUGACCAUUAUCUCCAGCUUUGUGAUACACUUUCAAAGAGUCGGAUUGUUUGGGAAUGCAGUCCAAAAUGGGUGGUAAAUUUCAUCUAUAGCUAAAUACUGGCGAGAGACCGAUAGCGAACAAGUACCGUGAGGGAAAGAUGAAAAGAACUUUGAAAGGAGAGUUAAACAGUACGUGAAAUUGUCAAAAGGGAAGCGUUUGACACCAGUGUUGUUUUCUCGAAAAUCAAUUAAAAAAGGCCGGAUUUUGUGUUGUAUUGACUUUAUCAGCUUUCUGCACUCUUUUCUUGUCUUUUUUAAUGCACUUUUCGUUUAACAAGUCAACAUCAAUUUCUUUUGUUGUAAAAGGGUCAUUGGAAGGUGGCUUUCUUUUCGGAGAAAGUGUUUAUAGCCUUUGGCCUCUGCAAUCGGAGGGAUUGAGGUCUGCAGCGUAGAUCCUUCGGGGUUAGAUACAUUUGUGCUAAGUUAUAGCCUUUCAUAGACAACUUGUUGACUAUGAUCAGUCAUGUAGCUUACUCGCUUAUGCUAUUUUACCUACGCUUAGGAUGUUG